This is an RNA transcript of Balaenoptera acutorostrata (minke whale), 2101 nucleotides long. It is a transcript of the gene named pseudouridine 5'-phosphatase, with no coding region annotated. The record is from RefSeq and is a predicted model, not a curated record. The transcript has 6 exons. NCBI's taxonomy places the organism in Eukaryota, Metazoa, Chordata, Mammalia, Artiodactyla, Balaenopteridae.
AGCGUCCCCGGGCGCGGGCGCGAGGAGGCCCGGGGUGGCGCGUGCGCAGCACGGCUCGGGGAGCGCGGGGAGGCCCGGAGCGCGCGUGCGCGCGCCUGUUCCCCGCCCCCACUCGGCCGAGACGGCGGCACAAUGGCGGCGCCCUUGCCCCCGCUGCGUCCCGUCACCCACCUGCUUUUUGACCUGGACGGCCUCCUUCUGGAUACUGAACGGCUGUACUCAGUGGUGUUUGAGGCAGUCUGCGGUCGCUAUGGGAAGAAAUACAGCUGGGAUGUGAAGUCCCUCGUUAUGGGCAAGACGGCGUUGGAGGCGGCCCAGAUCAUCGUAGACACCCUGCAGCUCCCGACGUCCAAGGAGGAGCUGGUGGAAGCCAGCCAGGCGAAGCUGAAGGAGGUGUUCCCCAGCGCCGCGCUCAUGCCAGGCGUGGAGAAGCUGAUCCGCCACCUGCGGAAGCACGGUGUGCCCUGUGCCGUGGCCACCAGCUCAGGGACCGCGUCCUUCCAGAUGAAGACCAGCAGGCACGAGGGCUUCUUCAGCUUGUUCCAUCACGUCGUCCUCGGCGAUGACCCCGAAGUGAGGAGCGGGAAGCCGGAGCCGGACAUCUUCCUGGCCUGCGCCCGGAGGUUCUCUCCCGCUCCUCCCGCGGAGAAGAAAGAACUUUAUACGAUAUUGCCCACUGAAGAUGGAAUUCAGCAUGAAGACCAUCUUGGGCUCCAUCAAAGAGAUCACUGAAAAGCCAAAGGGCCUCUAGGAUGUCACACCUCAUGAUGUACAGAGGGCCGCAGUGCACUCUACAGAAUUGGGCUUGAAAAAUAAAGAAGGCGGACAGAGUUUCCUCUCUUCCCGGAAUCUUCUGGAAACCAUAGCCAUGGGCUAUUCCUGAAUGCCUCACAUCCUUUAAGCAAUGUUUAAUGGCCACCUGUUGCAUGAGGGCUCAUCAGGGGAAAGGACCAUUUCACGGCAACCUAGCACCCUGGCCCUAAACUUUGUUGUCCAGGCUAGUGGGGCUGGGCCAUGUGGAGAAUUUGUUUUGCCAGGACAGGAGGUCUCGAGGGCCUGGAAUCCAAGAAUUUCCAGGAGGUCCUUCUCCAUAUUCCUGCCAAGUCCGUGGCCACCACACUGCAAAAUGGCAGAGCGCAGGUUCAUAUUCUCGAUAGAGAUCCCAUACCUUUUUCAUUGUGCUGACUUUCUUUGCCAUGGUGGGGCUUUUUAUGGCCUGGCAGGGUAAGGGCCUCAGCAUUCUAGCCCCAGGUGAUGGAGAGUCUACCUGCCUUUGGUUCCUCGAAUCACUGACCUGGGAGCCCCAUCACGUGGGGCCCCAAGCAGAGGCCCCAGGUAGCCACCUCUGGGAUGUCAUAGCUUAGGUGCUGCUGAGAGUUUGUCAAUACUUGUAUCUCCCCUUGCCUUAAUGAUCAAUGUGUCCAAAGUCACAAACUCAAACCACAGCACAUGGAAAUAAUGACUUAUCCUAUGACUGCCAUAAACGCACUCCAGUGUCUCAAAUGUGUUCCAUCGAUCAUUCUUUAAGGUACAAAAGAUGUGUGUCAACAUAGAAACAGUCUCUAUUCUGGGGAAGAAACUCCAUGAAUGUGUGUACUGUUGAUUCUCAGUCAAAGAUGCCAUUUUCCUAUUUGUGGGGCAUCGAUGUUUUGCACCAAGCCCUCUCUUCUUAGAUAAUUGCAAUUGACACUUUGGCAUCUACAUUCUGAAGGCUUGAUGCUGAAGUUUCUACUGCCCUUCCACAAGGAGGACAGCCUGUGGUCCCCACAAUGAGAUCUGGUUCUUUCUGCUCAUUCGUGGAGUGACUUGGAGAGCAGGGAGCUGAUUUGCAGAAGGACCACUUGGUAGACAGGCUAUUCAAGAUUCUGACGACAUGUUGGUGGAUUCAUGCAUGGAUAUUCGAGCAGCCACCAAAUCAUUUCUGAGCUCUGUCUCCUGAGAGGAAGUCACAUAAACCAGGUAUGAUUUGUGCACUUUUCUUCGGUACGUCAUACAUCAACCAAAAGCUUAUUGACUUUUUGAUGCCACUUGAUCCAAGACACCCACAUCCUAGACUGAAGGAUUGGAUUUGAAUGAAACUCAUUUUCAUCGCAAGACAAAG